GCCAGGCGAGCACACUACACUACCGCUUGAGCCACAUCCCCAGCCCCGGCACUAAGGUUUUAAAAUCAGGUAUAUUUUAUAGCACAUCUCAACUUGUACAAUCCACAUUUCCCAUAGGCACCUGUAGUUAGUCUCUACCAUAUUUGAUAACAGCUCUGGAUCAAUGGCCCACAUGACUGGACAGAAAUAAUAGCAAUAGCUAGUAUUUCUUGAUUGCCAGCUGAAAGAUCUUGAGCAAGUUACUAAACCUGUGCUUGUUUCCUCCUUUGUAAAAGAGAAGUAAUGGUAAAGUCUGAUCAUGUUGUAAGCAUUAAAUCGAGAGAGGUAGCCAAAGCCCCACAUAAGAUCAUUAGUCCACUUUGCCUUUGCACAUAGUUUCCUCAGCCUGCAAUGCCAAGUCUUCUUCACCUGCAAGUCAUGUUCAUUUUUUGAAAAAUGUCACCUCCUCUAUGAAGCUUAUCUAAAGUGCCUAUCUCUGGCUCUGGACCAACCUCCGCUUUGUUUACCACUGUAAUGGUGCUUAUUACCUUGUUUUGUAAUUGGUUCCCUACCUGGUUCCCUUGUGAAUCUUGAAGGAUUCAUUCAUUUUCCAUUUUCUAUUAUCUAGCAUUUCUAGAUUUUCCAUUUUCUAGCAUUUCUGAAAUGAGAGGUUUACUUACAUACAAUUGUCAGUGUAUUUUUUUCUUGGUGAGUUUUUUUAAGUAGGUGUGAUUGCAAUAUAUGCCAUAGAUUUGAUAAAUUUUAAUAUUUGCCUUUGUGUUCUUAGGCACUGGACUCAGUAAAUGUAAUGCAUGUGUCAAAUAUAC
This 806-nucleotide long non-coding RNA is filed under the name Marmota monax (woodchuck). Lineage: Eukaryota; Metazoa; Chordata; Mammalia; Rodentia; Sciuridae. The record is from RNAcentral.